Molecule: non-coding RNA, 166 nt
Filed under: Paraclostridium tenue
Lineage: Bacteria; Bacillati; Bacillota; Clostridia; Peptostreptococcales; Peptostreptococcaceae
Source: RNAcentral
UAUUGUAGGUUUUUAGAAAUAAAAUUAAAAGGGAAAGAGGUUAAAAUCCUCUGCAGUCCCCGCUACUGUGAAGCUGAUGAAACUUUCAAAUGCCACUGUAAUGUAUAUUAUGGGAAGGGAAGGGAGUAAAAUGAAGCCAAGCCAGGAGACCUGCCUACAGUAAUUA